This 21-nucleotide non-coding RNA is filed under the name Caenorhabditis elegans. Lineage: Eukaryota; Metazoa; Nematoda; Chromadorea; Rhabditida; Rhabditidae. The record is from RNAcentral.
UUAACGGUAGAGCAAACAUUC